UUGCAUCGUGUAUUUUCACGAAGAGGCCACAAGUUUUCUCGAAAAGUUACAGAAUUCGUUUAGUGUUUGGUUUAUGUAUAAGGUAAAGUGAUGCCGGCGGUAAUCUCUGUAUUCUAUUGAGCCAUUGUCGAGUCAUAGCGAGAAAAGCAAAUGUGCUGAUGCCACGAUUUCGCCUGUUUCUAAUAAAGUAUACAUGGGUACAUCGUCAUGGUGACUGCUUCUUUGCAAGCGAAGUGUUGAAAAGACUGAUUACAAAAUUGGGCGGAAGGUGUUCAAGAACUUGUAACAACGAAUACAAUUACGUAAUAACUUUUGUUGUUGUCGCAACAAAAACUCUCCUUGUCAAAUAAUCUUGUCCGCAAGGAAUAGUCAUUGUAUAGUGUUAAAGUUCAGUAGCAGAGUGCUUUAAAAAACCGUUCCGAAGGAUUUUAAGAUUAGUUUAUGUUUAGAGCCGUUCCGAAGGAUCUCGGUAUUAGAUUAGUGUUUUGCAGUGUUUCAUCCGACCACGAAGC
Molecule: long non-coding RNA, 512 nt
Organism: Stylophora pistillata
Lineage: Eukaryota; Metazoa; Cnidaria; Anthozoa; Scleractinia; Pocilloporidae
Source: RefSeq, a predicted model, not a curated record